AUACGGAGGGUGCAAGCGUUACUCGGAAUCACAGGGCGUAAAGCGCGCGCAGGCGGUCUUUUAAGUUGGAUGUGAAAGCCUACGGCUCAACCGUAGAACUGCAUCCAAAACUAUUAGACUAGAGUGUGGGAGGGGAAGAUGGAAUUAGUUGUGUAGGGGUAAAAUCCGUAGAGAUAACUAGGAAUACCAAAAGCGAAGGCAAUCUUCUGGAACACUACUGACGCUGAGGCGCGAAAGCGUGGGGAGCAAACAGGAUUAGAUACCCUAGUAGUCC
This 274-nucleotide ribosomal RNA is filed under the name uncultured bacterium. RNAcentral's name for it is "partial 16S ribosomal RNA". It matches the Rfam family "Bacterial small subunit ribosomal RNA", at positions 523 to 796 of the family's 1533-position model. The record is from RNAcentral.